This 88-nucleotide transfer RNA is filed under the name Spirochaetota bacterium. RNAcentral describes it as "Spirochaetes bacterium (hot springs metagenome) tRNA-Ser". It matches the Rfam family "tRNA". Rfam says of the family: Transfer RNA (tRNA) molecules are approximately 80 nucleotides in length. The record is from RNAcentral. Lineage: Bacteria; Pseudomonadati; Spirochaetota.
GGAGAGAUGCCAGAGUGGUCGAUUGGGUCUGACUCGAAAUCAGAUGUACACGUUUAGUGUACCGAGGGUUCGAAUCCCUCUCUCUCCG